UUUGGUGGUUUUACCAGGUUGGCACCUUAUUUUUAGGUAUGCCUGGUGCUGCCCUUGGCAUGCCCUCCAAUACUCUCCAUUCAACCAGUGUUGGUCCCCUGGAUCAAUGGCAAUGGCUGUCUGUAGGAUAUGCUGGGCAAUGAGGUUACAGAUUGUGCUGGAGAAGGUCUGCUACUGUUGCAGUCUCUCUCAAAGCCUCAUAGAUAUCUGGUUUUGAGCUCCUGUGUCUGUUCCAAGUCUGUCCCUUUUAGCCGAAGUUAGUGCCACCCAACGCAAUGGGGGGUAUUAUCAAGUUUAAGAUGAGGCUUUGUCUCCACAGGACUGUGCGGUGGUUGCUGUUAUCAAUCCUGUCAUGGACAGAUGCCUCUGCAGCUGGGAAAUUGGUGAUGAUGAGAUCAGCUAUAUUUUCCCCGUUUGGUGCGUCAGCACCUGCUGCAGUCCCAGCCAAGCAGCUUUGUCCUUUAGGACUCGACUAGCCUGAUUGGUAAUCCUCCUACAAACUACUCCUGAUGUGGACAUUGAGUACAUUUAGUGCUAUUCACACUCGCAGUGUUUCCUCCAAGUGCUGUUCAACAUGAUAGAGUUUUUUGCUUCUUAAAAUUCACUCUUGGGAUGUGGAAAUCGCUGGCUGGACCAGCGUUUAUUACCUGGAAGGUAGUUAAGAGUGAAGCACAUCACUAUGGGUUUGGAGUCACAUGUCAUCCAGACCAGGUAAGGAUGGCACAUUUCCGGAAAGGACAUAAGUGAACCAGAUGGGUCUUUCCUGAUAAUUGGCAAUGGUUUCAUGGUCAUCAUUAGAAUCUUAGUUCCAGAUCAUUAUUUAAUUCAUGUUUCACCAUCUGCCAUGGCAAGAUGCGAACCCAGGUCCCCAGAAUGUUAUCUGGGUCUCUGGAUUAAUAAUCUAGCGAUAAUACUACUGCUGAUUUAUCAACCAAGGGAGGAUGGUACAUGGUAAUCAGCAGGAGCCAUGAGACUUCCAGGCGUCAGAGUCAAUGUUGAGUACUCCCAGGUCAAAUAAUCUGGUCAGAAUAGCACUGUGCUGUCACGUCUGCUGGGACAGGGCUUCACUAAGGACAAUGAUAGUGGUGUGUGUCAUUGUUUGCCAGGUAUGUUUCCAUGAGUCUGACACUGUUCCUUGACUCGUCUUUGAAGCGGCUCUCCAAAUUUUGCCACUAGCCCCCAGAUAUUAUUAAGCAGGAGUUUGGGGGGUCGAUAGGGCUGAUUCUGCAGUUGUCUUUCCUAGUUCCCUGGUAGAUGCCAAAUGGGCCACCCAGCUUCAUUCCUUUGUUGAAACUUUGCAGUGAUUUGCAACUGAGUGGCUUGCUGAGGUUGGCAAAUUUCUUUCCCCGAAGGACAUUAGAUUUUUUUUUUCUCUCUGUCAUCAGCAAUCGUUGCCAUGGCAACCAGUUGAUUCUUCCAGUUUUUUUAUUGAAUUCAAAUUCCACCAUCUGCUGAGAUAGGAUUUGAACCUGGACUUCUGUUGUACAUUUUAACAUUCUGGAUAAAAGUUAGUCAUCAGGUUUGUUCACUCAUUUUUAAAUAUCACUAACACAGGCAUGGUUUCUUUGCAAAACACUGUCCAUCAUCCUGUCUCCUCCAUCCUCCCCUCCAACGGCAAGUGAAGGAGACACAUGCCCUAUUCUCACGAAACUACAAAUAUUCCAACUCUUAUUUCUCCUCCUCCUCCCUGCCUCUUCCCCGAUGCCAAUUCACAGAUAUUGUUACUUGUUCUGUCUGUUUCUCUUUUCUGGUUAUGUCCUUCUCACCCAUUCUGUUUAAAACCAAUGUUCGACCUCACCGUCAUUUGAAAAUCCCACUCCAUCUCUCUUUCCUGUCUGAAAUCCAUGUAGUAAAUGUCCCUCAAGGAUCUAUCCUUGGCCCAUGCUGUUUCUCACCAACAUACUUCCAGGAGGUGAGAUCUUCGACAAGCACUGUGUUAACUUUCACAUGUAUUCUACAAUGUUCAGAUCUAACUCGUCUCCAUCACUUUGCUCCACUGUUACUCAAUUAUAAAACUGCUUAUCAUGCUUCCACUACUUGAUUAGCUGAAAUUUCCUCCAAUAACACUUUGUGAUAGUAAAACACAUUGCCUUCAGUUAUUAUUACAAAUUAUUUUUCCUUACUAUUGUACUGAAUCCAUCCCUCUCAUUGGGAACUGUCUGAGGCUGAACUGCACCCUUCUCAAUAAUGCUCUCAUAUCUGGUCUCAAGAAAAACAUCUUACCGUACAUUUCAAUCACAAAUGCCAGAAAUUUCAAUCUCUAAAAUGCUCCUUCUCUCCACCUCACUCCAGCUCAUUCGCGACUGAAACCCCUUACCCAUGUCUGUGUUGCCUUAAGCUUGACAAUUCCAAAAGAGAACCCUCUCUUCUCUGCCUUAUCAAGAAUCUGCUCCCACGAUGAGAAAUAUUUCCUCUGCAUUUAUCCUGUCAACUCCCUUAAGAAUCCUCUAUUUUUAAUUAGAACAUCUCUCAUUCUUCAAAAAAAAUCUAGUUAGUAUAUUCCAGACCUGUUUAGUCUUAGCUUAAAACAUAAUCCCUCCAAACCAAUGAUCAUCUUAGUUCAUCUUCUUUGAAAUGCCUCCAGUGAAGUUAUAUACUUGCUCGAAUAAGUGGACCAAAAAAGCUGCUCGCAUUCUUCCAGAUGUGGUCUUGCCAGCAAGUUGUACAUUUGUCCUAAGACAUGUAUUCCAAACUCUUCUACUGCAAACACCUUGACAUAAGCAUAACAUCCCAUGACCCUUCCCGAUUACCUGUUGCAACUGUGUGCUCGCUUCAUGCUUCCUGCACAAUUAUUCCUGAAUCCCUUUUGUGUUGCAGUUUUCCACAGUUUUUACAUUUUUAAAUAACACUGUUCUUUGGUCAUGUCCUCAAAAAAUAGCAACUUCUCGUUUUCCCAAAAUAUACUCCAUUUGCCGACUUGUCGCCCAUUUAUCAAUAUCUCUCCAUAAACUCUAACCCUCAUGGAACUUGACUGUUAUCCCUUUUUUAUGAGAUCCUCCCUCAUUCUUCUCAUCUUUUUGUUGGGAGCACUGGGCAACAUGACACAUCUGUAAUUGCUGCCUUUUUCAGGGGCGUUUUUUCAAAUGACUGGGAGAAGCUUACUGCCCCUUUCUCAGAAUCGAGACAACUUGUUCAUCAAGUUGCAUUGGGCCGGAAAAGCUGAUGUCUCAUUGUGGCAGUGCAGCAGCACAGAAGGAAAGAAAAGGAAGCAAAUCCUGCUGCCUGCAUCUCACUAAAUCUUGGCCAUUCUUUGCCUUGUGUCAAACACCUGUUGUUCUGUUCAGUGACAUGAAGCCCCAAUGUGGAAAUUCCUAGAAACCCAAAUAGAAAUCCCUCGAAUCAGCUGCUGACUCCCACAAGGAAUAAUGUGCAGCAGGAACAAUGCACAGUUACCCUCGGCCAGGAGGAGGGGAUGUUGUGGAUUCCUACUCUGACAGUGAUGGAUUUUAUGAAUUUGUGUUACAGGAUAUUACAAGUGGACUUUCAGGUAGGAAGCUCAAUAAUUGUAACACCAAACUCUGACAGAAUUACUCAAUUCAUCAGGACCUGGAUAUUCGCAUUGUGUAUUUCCACAAUUUUACUUCUGCACUAUUCUUAGUCUUUCAGAGGGAUCGAAAGGUUGAGUUACAGAUCUAUACAAUGACUGUCCUUCCUCGCUGGCUUCCCCCACCUCUCUCUUUUGGUAGUUUUAUGCAAACACUGACUGGAUCCCUUACCUGGAGGAUAUUUAUGAAUGAAUUUGUUCUAAUGGUGAUCCAGCAUUUUCCCCAAGUAUCGCUCCACACAUGCCCAGAGAAUUUCUCAGUUUCACAAUCUGUGUCCUUCUGGUUUCUUACUCGCUCCACUUAACUUUCUGUUUGAAAGUAUAGUCUGCAGUUGGAGAAUUUAAACAGGUCCACAUCCAGGUCUGACGGUCACUUUGUUUAUCACAACCCAAUUAUCUCAGGAUUUUGAACAAUGAAGGAAAAAGCAGCACUCACAUUGGGGAGAAAUGCACAUGGCGUGUGUGUUGAAGAGUCUGUGAAGAUUCAUCUGAAAUGUCCGAACACCAGUGCAGUGACGCUGGGAGACAGAGUGUGGAAAUGUGCAGAUUGCAGGAAGGAAUUUCUUCAUCCAUCCCAGCGAGAAACUGACCACCAGAGUCACACUGGAGAGAGACCAUUGACCUGUUCUGCAUGAGGGAAAGGCUUUGCUGAUUCGAAUUCCCCGCUGAUACACCAGCGAGUUCACUCUGGGGAGAGACCUUUCAUGAGCUCUGAGUGUGGGAAGGGAUUCAUUGUCAGCCAAACUGUUAACACACCAGUGAGUUCACAGACAACCACAGUUGAAGAACUUUGCUGUCACUCUCACUAUCAAAUGAACCAUGGUUUUGGGCUGUUUGUACAGAUGUUACCGAUCCCUGCUCAAUUAAAGGUGCUGGUAUUGUGAAUAAAAUGUCACACUAA
Molecule: long non-coding RNA, 4445 nt
Organism: Stegostoma tigrinum
Lineage: Eukaryota; Metazoa; Chordata; Chondrichthyes; Orectolobiformes; Stegostomatidae
Exons: 2
Source: RefSeq, a predicted model, not a curated record